GACGAACGCUGGCGGCGUGCCUAAUACAUGCAAGUCGAACGCUUUGAUUUUCACCGGAGCUUGCUCCACCGAAAAUCAAAGAGUGGCGGACGGGUGAGUAACACGUGGGCAACCUGCCCAACAGAGGGGGAUAACACUUGGAAACAGGUGCUAAUACCGCAUAAUUCGUUUUUCCGCAUGGAAGAAUAAUAAAAGACGCUUCGGUGUCACUGUUGGAUGGCCCGCGCUGCAUUAGUUAGUUGGUGGGGUAACGGCCUACCAAGACCAUGAUGCAUAGCCGACCUGAGAGGGUGAUCGGCCACACUGGGACUGAGACACGGCCCAGACUCCUACGGGAGGCAGCAGUAGGGAAUCUUCGGCAAUGGACGAAAGUCUGACCGAGCAACGCCGCGUGAGUGAAGAAGGUUUUCGGAUCGUAAAACUCUGUUGUUAGAGAAGAACAAGUGAGAGAGUUACUGUUCUCACCUUGACGGUAUCUAACCAGAAAGCCACGGCUAACUACGUGCCAGCAGCCGCGGUAAUACGUAGGUGGCAAGCGUUGUCCGGAUUUAUUGGGCGUAAAGCGAGCGCAGGCGGUUUCUUAAGUCUGAUGUGAAAGCCCUCGGCUCAACCGAGGAAGGUCAUUGGAAACUGGGGAACUUGAGUGCAGAAGAGGAGAGUGGAAUUCCAUGUGUAGCGGUGAAAUGCGUAGAUAUAUGGAGGAACACCAGUGGCGAAGGCGACUCUCUGGUCUGUAACUGACGCUGAGGCUCGAAAGCGUGGGGAGCAAACAGG
This 774-nucleotide ribosomal RNA is filed under the name uncultured bacterium. Its description in RNAcentral is "bacterial SSU rRNA". It matches the Rfam family "Bacterial small subunit ribosomal RNA", at positions 28 to 776 of the family's 1533-position model. The record is from RNAcentral.